UUAAGCCCUGGUUAGUUUUAACAGGCAGAUUACUGAAAAUCCUGCCUGUUUAUGUUCUGUACAUGAGCUUGUGUGAACUAGACAAGUAGACAUACACACAAACACACACAAACACACACGCACACACUGCAACCAAAUAUUCCUUCAACGACCCCUCGUACAGUGUCCGGGGUCACCCCUGAGGCAGCCCCCUAAGACCUUUAACCUUUAACCCCCCCUGACCCAUCCUGGGAAGAAGAGACACUGUCCGGCAGUGCCUCGGAUUCCUGAGAUCUGUGGCAUACUCAAGACCGUUCACACCGUGUCCCCGUUACGAGGAUCUGGAUGAAGACGAGGCAAUCUGCGCAAUACUUAUAGCGUGGCUUACACACGCAACAUCUGGCUCCCAUCGCUGCUUACCCUGCGAGCAGAGUGAUGUUGAUAUUGGUCCUUUUGUAGCUUUCAUCUUAUCUGAGCUGCAUGCCACUGGCAGACAGACGGCUUUAAGCUUGUAAUUGCUUCCCCCCCAGGCUACGGAGCCUACCUCCCCUUCCAGGAGCCCAGACGCCCUGCACCCCCCUUCCCAGCAGGGGGGCGUGCUGGAGGUUGUAACAAUGGAGUGUGACUGUCUCUCUGCGAUGUGGGACACCGGUGACCCCCCGGAGACCCCCCCCCUGUCGCUUGACGGCGUCUCAUCCGCGGUGACCUGGUUUGACCACCAUUACCCGCGCUCCAUCCCUUUGCCCCCUCGUCCAUCCAUCCAUCCAGCUGCCUUCCGUACCCCCACCACCAACCCAUCUCCCUCCAUCCUGUCUCAUUAACCCCCUGAGGCUCAUCUCUGAUGAGCCCUCCACCUCGCGGGGACAUUCUGGGGCUCUGAAUUAAACCUCUAAAAACAUGGAGGACAUUUUCUUAAGAAAUAAAGGUCAUUUUGAGGUCCAUACACUAUAGUUUAAGGGAUCAAGGAUAUUUGGGAAACAAAUCAAUAGUGCUAAAUACUUGGAUGAGAUUAUUUGGGACUAGCCCAUACUGUUGAAGACAUGGAGGGUGUCCUAUUCUUCCCACUGUCCUUCUGCUCAGUUUCUCCUUCAUAUCCUCCUCCUUAUCCCUUCAUCCAGCGUAAACAAUAGCUAUAUUUCAGCCCUGCGUGGAAGUAUCACAGUAUUGUCCAAACACUAGCCAUAGAAUAACAUACACAUUGGUAUAUCCUUACCCCCUCACGCUAGGCACUGUCCGCCUGCUCUAUUUUGAGGAUAAACACGCCAUCCGCCAGGAGAGGAAGAUGGGAAAAAUGAGAAAGUCGGGUUUAUCGGAGGGCCGGGGUUAUUUACCUAUCUCUUCCUUCCUGUGUUUAGGCAAGGGGGAUUAUAUCUAGAGAGGGAAACAGUACCAGAGUUCACUCCUACCAGGAUAACACAGAAUUAGCCCUUCUGCUCCUCCCAACCCCGUCCCUCUCCUUUUUCUGUCCUUCAAUCUCCUCCCAUCUCCUCCUUCUCUUCCUCAUGUCCCCCAUCCCCGAUCCCCCCCCCUCUCACCAAUCGAACCCGCGUUCAUCCCUCGACCAAUCGCCUUGCACCCCCGGCACAGCGUCGCCAGUCGCGGCUGUGUUGACAUUACCCCGCUCAGACCAGGCCUAGAGUACUGUCUUGUUUAAUAGCCAGGGCCCUGUUUAGAGUUUGGGACCUCUUUUUUUUUAACAGAGGUUUGAUGGAACGACGGGGGCCAAAGAGCAACACUUGUCCCACUUCCUGUUAUCAUUACCUCUCAGUCACAAGAGACGUAGGCGAUCGGCUCCCCGGCCUCACAGCUUUACUCAUCCUCAAUCGACUUGUCAGUCUGGGUUGUCCUUGGUUGAGUAACAAUCUCUGGUGGUAAUUUCCCAUGAUUCAUUAGGAAAUGGUGACAUGUGCGUGUUAGUGUAUAAUUUUUUGGUUCGUUUUUGGGUUGAGUUUACUAUUUGUUUAGAGAGGGUUAAGUUCAGGGAAGGGUUAUGGUUUUGCUAAGGCCAGGCUACCGAUUUUGGGCCAAGCCAAGCCACAGCAAUUACCAUCGCUAAUUCUGUAUAGCUGCAUUUAUAUCUAUAAAUGUUCCACUACUCGGUCCUAGUUAAUACAGUAACUCAGAGACCGUUGCAAUAGGUGUAUAUUACACCCAAAAUGGCUGAAUAGCUGAAAUUCUCAGCGCCGCAAGUGAUUUUCCCGCAUUUGCACUUUCAACGUUCUGCAAAACACCUUCUCUUUAAGGAAAUGCUAUCAGACCCAUACCUCCCUCCACUGAGCUGAAUCUCCAUGCAGGGAAUGACUUUGUUAAUAGUCUGGUGUUGCAGCAGCUCUCUUACAAAGUUCUAGAGAGAGUCAAAUGUUUGUAAAAGAAUAUCAUAUAUUCAUAUUGAAAAGAUAUAUAAGAGUAGAGUAGUAUCCCUUCAACAAAAACUCGUAUAAUGAAUUGGUGUUAUUAGCAAUAUUAGUCUUUAUAUUGUUAUUAAUGACAAAGAUGUAUAUAACACAAAGUAGAAAAAUUUAGUUGCACAUGGAAAAAAACGUCAUUCUAUCAAACUAGUAUAGAAUCUUGCAUAGAAAACCCUUACUUUUAUUGAAGUAGAAGACGAAAAGUAAGGCGUUCUAUGCAUGGUAUAGCCUGAUAUAAGCCUCUGAAACUGAAAUGAUUCCAGGGUUUUCCUGAGAAAAAUAGGUUGUUUUCUGUAGGCUAGCUUUCCGACUGCAGACAGAACUUUAUUCACCACGUCAGUACAUCUGUGGCACAUUUCUCUGCGGUUCUCUAUUGUGUUUCACUUCAGAACCCAAACUCUGAGCGUCAGGAGAACCUUUCAUGUGGCCUGGUUUUUUUUCCCCGACACUAAUGUCUGUUUUUGUGUGUUGUUGUGCAAUCUCCAGGGGGAGAGGAAAAAGUUAUUUUACUUUUCUCACAGUUCUGGUUUGUCGCAACUGCUAAAGUUAAAGCAGCGUAAUCCUGUGUGACGUACAGAGCUGUGUUUGUACCAAGGUGAAGAGGGAGGUGGCAAAUGCCAGCCCUGCUGAUUAGAAGCUCCUACACGCACACGGUCAUCUUACAGUCUGGAUGAAGUGCGGCCUUGUCAGCACUAGCUCUGUCUCUGUCUCUGUCUCUGUCUCUGUCUCUGUCUCUCUCUCUCUCUCUCUCUCUCUCUGUCUCUCUCUGUGUGUCUCUCUAUGUGUGACACUCUCUCUGUGUAUCUCUUUGUUCUUCUUCUGGGGCCUGUUGACUUGCCACCCUGGCGUCGGACAUUACAUAUUUAAAUGCGUUCCUACAGAAUACGGUAGACGUAUUGACGUAGGCGUAGGGAGAGAUCCCCCACAAUGCCUUGCAUUCACGCUUGGCAAAAAGGCUGAGAAGCAUAGUAAGAGACAUAGAGAGAGAGACAGUGGCCCUACAGUAUAUCUCGAACAGACCUGGCCACUGACCACCUGUUUAAUCCAAACGUUUACCACUCCUUCUUCUGACGUGCAUGGUGAUGUCACCACACCCCGAUGGGCCAAUCCGGGUCUCCACCCAAAGCUGCUUUCAAAGCCCAUCUUGCCCCCUUAAAGGCUUCCUUCAGGAUUGAUCAACCUGGGCAAUAUUUACUGCUCUCUCAGCUCUGGCAAAAAAAUGAUUUUUAUAGUGACUCAGCCCUGUACUCAAUAGCAUCUAAUGUUAACUUAUGGUUUUCAUUACUUGCCUUUUGCUAACAAACAUACAUUUGUGAUCUGCUGCCGAGGAACUACAGAUGCAAAUGAGCUUAAAGCUGAAAUGUACGGCUCAUCAAAUGCCAACGCUUAUGUUUUAAGCGGGAUGCGGCCCCUUUUUAAAUCAAAUAAAUAAGUACAAAUUACAAUUUUAACUGGUCCAGUAUUGAGCGGGUAUGCUGCGGCCGCAAUCGUCCCCUAAAAGUCCCGAAGUUCUCCCCUAAUACGACUUGAAUCCGUGUGCCGUAAUGUAAUGCGUAAAGCACAGGAGCCACGGUAGGAGGGAUCAGUCCAUCAGAUCCUAGCUGGGGGGCUGGAUAGUACAGGAGUCAGACGGGUUGACCCCCAGCCAAAAGGUUCCGGGCUCAAACCCUAAUGUCCCAAGGCUACCUGUAGGCACCAUUGAGCAAGAUGCCCUAACCAUUAUCUGUGCAUUUCUAGCCAAUGUAGUAAAUAUCAGAAAAUGCCAUUCAUUAACUGUAAAAUGUUUUUUGAUUAAAGCGCUGAAAUGAAGAAAUGUUAAACUGGAGACAAUGAAAGUCUUAUCUUAAUUAUCUAUAAAAGCCGAUCCCCCCCCCCCCCCCCCCCCCCCUACAUUCUGUUAUUACUGUUUGGAAUGUUAAACCCCACCUCCUCUGACUUAGUGAUGCAGUCACCAAAGCUGCUCCAUCUUGGAGAGGGUGAAAGUGAUUAGAUGUCAAUAUUAGAUAAGUAAAGACAUGCCUGGAAUGUUUUGAUGUGCAUUAAGCUCAAAUAUAUUAGAAAUGUUAAUGAAUCAAGAUGAACAUUGAUCCGAUGUUCUUCUGGUAAAUGCCUUGUUGAUAACAAUAACAAUAAUAAAAACCUUUUAUAUUGCAUCUUUUAUUACAAUCAUUGAAAGCAGAGUGCUUCACAUCAAUUCCGAAAAUCAUUGGCAAUACCGAUGGGAUAAAGUAAAUACAACACGCACAUGGUCUUGCGUUAUGACAGCUCAGCAUUACACGACGAAUGGUAUUGAUUCCACAUUAAUGACCAUAUGCAGCACGGCAUGAAUGAAGGCCUUUUUGGAAGGAAACAUGGUGUGCCUUUGGGCAGGGCGGGUUUAGAACUGCACCCAGCUGCAGCUGAUGUCCCCUUUAUGAACACAGAGAUACCAGAGACCAGGGAGACAUGAAAGUCUGGGGGGGGGGGUGCAUGUGCGUGCUUUUAUGUGCUCUGCUAGGUCGCGCUGCGUGCUUCCUGUUGUUGACACACACACACACACACACACACUCACACUCACACUCACACUCACACUCACACACAGGCCCAGUGUUCAGGCCUGCAGAAGGUCCAUCUCAGCUCACAUUAACUAUCAGCUCAUUUGUCACUACCUGCUGGGCAGAGGGCAAAGGUCACAGGCCACAGGGCGUGUGUGUAUGUGUCUGUGUGGGUCUGUCUGUUUAUCUCUGUGUGUGUGUGUGUGUGUGGGUGUGGGUGUGUGUAUCUCUCAGUUUAUCUGUUGGUGUGUGCGCUUGUGUCCAUGCUUCUCAGAGUAAGCUGAGACCUCUCCAGGACCUCUACCUUGGGCUGCAGAGCGGGGUUAUGGCAGUAUGGUUCUCAUUGUGUCUGAACAGGGAAGCGUGAAGAGGAGAGCAGGCCUGGAUGGAGAACCAUGGUCAAUGAAACUACCUAAUGGAGGUCCAUGUUCUACGACCGUGUGUAUUUGUGUGUGUGUGUGUGUGUGUGUCUGUGUCUGUGUCUGUGUCUGUCUGUGUGUGUCUGUGUGUAUGACUGGCACACCAUGUUCGGCUGGUCUUUGCAGAGCAUCUGAUAGCUAGCUAGUGCCCCCUACAGUCAAAAGUCAGACAGAGGCUCUACUCCACACCCAGAUGUGAAUAAGAUAGUAGUAUUGGGGGUUAGGGGGCUAGCAACACCUCACCGCCCCCGUAGACUCCAGGUCGCUUAGCAAAGUGGGAAUAAGGAGACUUCUCUGUACUACCUUAUAAUUAUACCCAUCUGAGCCCCCCCCCCUCCAAAUCUCAAAUCCUUAUACUCUGUUGACUCUUGCCCACCUUGUGCCCCGAGGCUGGGGGAGGCUGGUUCGACCAAUCACCCAGGAGAUAUUGAAAUCACCGGUUGCCGCGGUAACUGAGCAUCCAGGGGGGUUGAGGGGGUCAAUCAGGGACACCCUCUGCCUGUCAUUAAUUACCCAGAGUUCCCUGGGGCGCUGGCCUGCGUGGAAGCUGAGAGCUCAAAAAGUGUGAUCAGGGGGAGAUUUUCCGUGUGUUUGAUAUCUGUAACGCACCCCCCCCCCCCUGCAACCCCCCCCCGUACUAGUGGAGCGUGUGACGGUGUUAGCAAAACACUGUGUUCAGCGCACAUGUCACGUUAGACUCUUAACUUAAGCCUAUCAAAUUCACCUGUCAGACAUCUUACCAUGAAAGAAAAAAAGAUCUUUCUUUUUUGUGGCCAAUGAUUGAAGGCUGUUCGUGUUUGAAGGUUCUUGGUUCAAUGGUGUAACACGACCCAAGAAGUGUCUUUUGUGUAUUGUUUUGGUGUCGUCCGUUUACCCACAGUGCUUUGUGUCAGGUUUUUGACCAGCCACAACACUCCAGAUCUCUGCCUCUCUCUGAUUCUGGAAGUUUCCAUGUUUAGGUUUUUGGACAGAGUUGGGUGGAUACAAGGAUUUGUCUGGCUUUCAGGGAAGCUUUGAUUGGUCUCGAAAAAACAAAAACAAAACAAAUCAGUUUGGCAAUGUUAAUCCCGUCCCCUUUUUCCUGACGUCAUCUUUAGCGAACUAAACACAAAACGACAGCCUUUUUACUUUGGAGCUAGUUUCAAUUCUGCUGCCUGUUUCGGGAAUCUGAUUGACAGCUAGAUUCGGGGAGAGAUCAAGAAGAGUCAAACUCCCCCGACGAGUUCUGGAAGAGUGUAAAACGUCUGUCAUUUGUCCCUUCUCAUUCCCAUCACAAUCUCUUCCCUCUUCCCCGUUUUUCAUAAUGGUUUUCCUAUCCCCCGCCAACAAUUUCCUUGACUCUCAGAACUCAGAGUUCUGGACCCUCUCUCUGCUCCUCACAUUAAUGCCAUUAGUCGGGUGUGCUCAUGCAUUGAUGUUUGUGCAUCUCAUUACGUCUGGAUGAGGUGGGGGGGGGACGUUUAUUAAUGCAGGGUGGAUAAGGACCGCAAGCACAUGUUGAACUGAAACACUCCUCUCUCUCAAACACACUCACACACACACACACACACACACACACACACACACACACACACACACACACACACACACACACCCGGCCUCCCCCUGGUCUGUCUGGGAGGGAUUUCUGAACACACACAGAGGGUCCUUCGGCUGUGUGUGUGUGUUCAUGUGUGUGUAUAUGUGUGUGUGUGUGUAAUGUUUGUGGAUGAUCUGGUAUAGAGAGCCUAAGAGCGGAUGGACUGAGAGAUGAAGUGAAAGAAUGCGUCAGAACAACUGCCAAGACACUGAACAUGUUGGGCUAGCUCUGUCGCAGGGACUGCACUUUCAGCUGCAGGGAGAGAUCCUGUUAGUUGUGAUUGUUUGUCAAACUGUCUCCUCUUUAUCUAAUUAGUAAGUUAAAAAUUCCAAAAAUUCCUUGAAAAUUGUCAAAUUGUUGAAAAUGGAUCAUAUUUGAGCAAAGUUCCCUGGGAACAAAUCUAGGACAUUUAUGUCUGCUGUAAAAUGUCUUUCGCCAACUAACACAACAGACCGAAGAUUAAAUGACGAGAGCCAAAACUCGCUAAACCUUGCAAUUUUACAGAUUUGGAAAUAUAAAACAAUUCUAUUGUUGUUUUUCAACACAUUAGUUUAAUCUGCAGUGUUUUGAAAUGUCUUCCACCAUGACACAAACUGCCAAGCUAAUGUUUGCUCUGAUUUUAUCUGAUUGCUACACUUUCCACGGUUGUCCUACUUUUCAUUCGAUCUGAACUGAAAUGCCCUGUCCCUCUUACAGCUAUUGUUCUCAACAAAGCCACGCCGGGGGAGACAUGUGGGUCUGGUUUGCUCUGUCGUGGUUCUCAGAGAAAAUAGGAAUCAAAUGGGGAAUCAAAAGCAACCCAGAAAUACAAAAUACAUGCACCGACGCCCUGCUGCUAAUUAUGAGUGGGGCGGCGGGAGGGUAAUAGGGUCCGGUCCACAUGAGGCAGCCACAUGCUCUCUCUCUCUCUCUCUCUCUCUCUCUCUCUCUCUCUCUCUCUCUCUCUCUCUCUCUCUCUCUCUCUCUCUCAACCCAUGCCAUUUCUCGCUGUCAUUCUGGUCAUCAUGUCGAAGCCUCCCUCUUCUCAAGCACUUAUUUGAGCUGUGUGUGUGUGUGUGUUCAGAGGAACCACAGUCAGAACAGACUGCAGCAGGAGCAUCUCUCAGUCUCUCAUCUCCCUCUCACGCAUUGACAGCAACAUGCUUUACUGCUACGUGUAAGAAUCUGCAUGUUUUAGUGCCUUUGAGGGACGCUGUAGUGUGUUUAUUUCUGGCAGAUCCAAUGAGUGUGUUUCACAGUUUGAAUUUUUAAAAUAUAUGUAUGCAUGCCAUAAGGUAUCAACCGCUUUAAAAUAUGUUUUGGAAGCCUUUACUGUGGCGCCCAGCGCAACAUUUGACACGUAAAUGACAGGGAAAGGUGAGAAGUUCAGAGAGUGACAUGCAAAACUGUGAAGAAUAAGUACCUUUUCUUUGGUUGGGGGGGAUAUUUUCCAUGGACCACUGUUCCACAUCCUGUUUAAAAAAAUAAUAGCGCAGAGGUGAAGUAGCAAAAAGUGAAUGUUAUUUCUGCAAGUUUGCACGACUGUCCAUUAAAAAUGGGCUGACGCUCAAAGUUUCUCUGUACCGAGUUUGCAAUGUCUCUGCUUCAGAGUGCAGGAACCCCUAGUCCGCGACCCUUAUUCAAGACGGGACACAAAGCCACUAUACUCUACUGUAUGGAACAUAUAGUGUAUGGAAAUGAAGGCAUCGCGCUGAAACCUGUCUGUCUGACAAAGUAAUUUACUUGCUCAUUGAAUGCAUUAUUAAAUAUUCUAAAUUUGAUUAGUUUUAGAAAUUUGUAAUGUAAUCGGGUUGCCUGUAGUUAUUUAAAAUUUUUAUAUAAGCCUGUUUUAUUAUCUCCUGACAUGACCUUAGUUCUAUUUGCACAAGGAUAUUGUUGGUUUGUCCUGCUAUGUGCGCACUGAGACUUGGAUUACUAAUAGAAUAAAUAUAUUGAAUUAAAAUAUUGUUUCAUGAAUUAAUUUAGAUUGAUCCAUCCAUCCUUCAACUGAUCUCCUCCCCUGUUGCUACUCAGAGACUCAAGACUUUUGGCUCAGACACUUCAACAUCUAAGCCGGGUGUUUAGUUUGAAACCCUGGCCUUAACAUGCACCACGUCCUCACUCUGAAACCCUAGAUUACAAUAAUUUACAGAGCAGCUCAAACAACCUCGCCAACUGUUGUACUGUCACGCAAUUGAAGGUUCUUGUGGUGUUCGCCCAAGGAAAAUUAAUCAGCAAAACACAGUGGAGCACUCUUUGGACGAGAGAGAUCUCGCAAAUGUUUGAAGGAUGUGGCUAAGCGGCGAGCCUAAGACUUGAGCACAGUCGCUAGUUAGAAAACAAUAAAUAGAGCCAUAUAGUGAGUGAUUUGCCGGCCCUGAUUGGUCAAGGGCAAUUCUGCAACAUAGACCAAUUCACACAGGCUCACCAUUCUAGCUUUGUGCUUUUAGUGAUUUCCGUUGUUGGCCUGUUAAUGUUGUUCAUGCUAAUCCGGCUCCAGAGCAGGGCCCGUAGCUUGGAGCUAAAUCUGGUGCUAAAGCACUUUAGAUUAUGCUGGUGUGAACACUCGGUCUGCCUUGGGCUGACACUCCAGCGUGUGAAAGCAGUAUGGCAGGAGGCUAGGCUAUUGCCCUCCUAAGCAUGGGAAAACAGCCACACUGUCACGCCGGUCCAUCACAGGGUCACGCACAAACACACAAACACAUGUGUGCAUUCACACGCACACACAAACGCACGCACACACACACACACACACACACACACAUACACACACACACACACACACACACACACACACACACACACACACACACACACACACACACACA
Molecule: long non-coding RNA, 9726 nt
Organism: Gadus macrocephalus (Pacific cod)
Lineage: Eukaryota; Metazoa; Chordata; Actinopteri; Gadiformes; Gadidae
Exons: 2
Source: RefSeq, a predicted model, not a curated record